Molecule: ribosomal RNA, 467 nt
Filed under: uncultured bacterium
Lineage: Bacteria
Description: bacterial SSU rRNA
Rfam family: Bacterial small subunit ribosomal RNA
Source: RNAcentral
UCAGGAUGAACGCUGGCGGCGUGCCUAACACAUGCAAGUCGAGCGAUUACUUCGGUAAAGAGCGGCGGACGGGUGAGUAACGCGUGGGUAACCUGCCUCAUACACAUGGAUAACAUACCGAAAGGUAUGCUAAUACAGGAUAAUAUAAGAGAUUCACAUGGAUUUCUUAUCAAAGCUCCGGCGGUAUGAGAUGGACCCGCGUCUGAUUAGCUAGUUGGUAAGGUAAUGGCUUACCAAGGCGACGAUCAGUAGCCGACCUGAGAGGGUGAUCGGCCACAUUGGAACUGAGACACGGUCCAAACUCCUACGGGAGGCAGCAGUGGGGAAUAUUGCACAAUGGGCGAAAGCCUGAUGCCAGCAACGCCGCGUGAGUGAUGAAGGCCUUCGGGUCGUAAAACUCUGUCCUCAAGGAAGAUAAUGACGGUACUUGAGGAGGAAGCCCCGGCUAACUACGUGCCAGCCGCUGC